Molecule: ribosomal RNA, 406 nt
Filed under: uncultured bacterium
Lineage: Bacteria
Description: partial 16S ribosomal RNA
Rfam family: Bacterial small subunit ribosomal RNA
Source: RNAcentral
AUUGAACGCUGGCGGCAGGCCUAACACAUGCAAGUCGAACGAGGGGCGGACGGGUGAGUAAUGCUUGGGAAUCUAGCUUACGGAGGGGGAUAACUACGGGAAACAGUAGCAAAUACCGCGUACCAUAGGAUGAGACCACGUUGGUUUAGGUAGUGGGGGAGGUAAAGGCUCACCAAGCCGACGAUCGCUAGCUGGUCUGAGAGGAGGACCGGCCACACUGGGACUGAGACACGGCCCAGACUCCUACGGUAGGCAGCAGUGGGGAAUAUUGCGCAAUGGGGGCAACCCUGACGCAGCCAUGCCGCGUGUAUGAAGAAGGCCUUCGGGUUGGAAAGUACUUUCAGUCGGGAGGCGUUACCGACAGAAGAAGCACCGGCUAACUCCGUGCCAGCAGCCGCGGUAAUUC